GUGACAGCAGCCGCGGUAAUACGGAGGGUGCAAGCGUUAUCCGGAUUUAUUGGGUUUAAAGGGUCCGUAGGCGGACUUAUAAGUCAGUGGUGAAAGCCUGUCGCUUAACGAUAGAACUGCCAUUGAUACUGUAAGUCUUGAGUAUAUUUGAGGUAGCUGGAAUAAGUAGUGUAGCGGUGAAAUGCAUAGAUAUUACUUAGAACACCAAUUGCGAAGGCAGGUUACCAAGAUAUAACUGACGCUGAGGGACGAAAGCGUGGGUAGCGAACAGGAUUAGAUACCCUGGUAGUCC
This 292-nucleotide ribosomal RNA is filed under the name uncultured bacterium. RNAcentral describes it as "partial 16S ribosomal RNA". It matches the Rfam family "Bacterial small subunit ribosomal RNA", at positions 505 to 796 of the family's 1533-position model. The record is from RNAcentral.